This 854-nucleotide ribosomal RNA is filed under the name Fusobacterium necrophorum. RNAcentral's name for it is "partial 23S ribosomal RNA". It matches the Rfam family "Bacterial large subunit ribosomal RNA", at positions 1 to 843 of the family's 2925-position model. The record is from RNAcentral. Lineage: Bacteria; Fusobacteriati; Fusobacteriota; Fusobacteriia; Fusobacteriales; Fusobacteriaceae.
AUUAAAGUAACAAAGGGCACACAAGGGAUGCCUAGGUAGAAAGAGCCGAAGAAGGACGUGGUAAGCUGCGAUAAGCUUGGCGAAGUUGCAAACGAACGUGGAUGCCAAGAUUUCCGAAUGGAGCAAUCUGUAAAGAGUCAUGUCUUUACACGAAAGAGGGAACCGGGUGAACUGAAACAUCUAAGUAAUCCGAGGAAAAGAAAGUAACAACGAUACCCUAAGUAGCGGCGAGCGAACGGGGUAGAGCCUAAACCGUAUUCAUGUCAAGGAUGCAGCCGUUGUGGAUACGGGGUAGCGGGAAAGAGAGAGAAAGAACUGCAAGCUAUUUCGCAGACGUAAGCAAAGGAACAAGAAAGAUCUGGAAAGGUCUACCGUAGAAGGUGAAAGUCCUGUAUUGGUAGUUUUCUUGCGCUGUAUCUCUUCUCCCAAGUAAUGUGGAACACGAGGAAUUCUGCAUGAAUCUGCGAGGACCAAAUCUCGUAAGGCUAAAUACUCUUUCUAACCGAUAGCGCAUAGUACCGUGAGGGAAAGGUGAAAAGAACCCCGGGAGGGGAGUGAAAGAGAACCUGAAAUUGUGUGCUUACAAGCGGUCAGAGCCACUUCGGUGGUGAUGGCGUGCCUUUUGGAGAAUGAUCCUGCGAGUUACGUUUCAUGGCGAGGUUAAGAAGAACGGAGCCGAAGGGAAACCGAGUCUGAAUAGGGCGCAAGAGUCGUGGAGCGUAGACGCGAAACCCGGUGAUCUAAGCCUGUCCAGGAUGAAGCUGUGGUAAGACACAGUGGAGGUCCUAACCCACCGCCGUUGAAAAGUUGGGGGAUGAGGUAGGUUUAGGGGUGAAAAGCCAAUCGAACCGGGA